RNAcentral lists this long non-coding RNA (1194 nucleotides) under Brachypodium distachyon (stiff brome). RNAcentral describes it as "long non-coding RNA (BDIS_LNC003232)". The record is from RNAcentral. Lineage: Eukaryota; Viridiplantae; Streptophyta; Magnoliopsida; Poales; Poaceae.
CUGCGGCUGAAAAGUUGCUCACCGGAAAAGACACGGAGUUCGCCGGAGUUGAAGGAGGAUGGCGAUGAUGUCGACGUAGGGUUCGAUGGGGUCGUGGAAGACGUCGAGGCGGACAUCGUGACGCGGCUUGCACGGUCAUAGCAUCUCCGGAUGGCGACGGGCCAAGCUCCGGGCGCGGCGUCGGCAUGGUGUCGGGGACGGCGCGGCCAACGAAGGAGAUGGAUCGCAUAACCUUGUCACGGAGGUAGGAGAUGGUCACGUGAGUCUACCGGUGAAAAGAAUUUAAAAAUGGACCUUCGGAGAGAACUCACUGGCAACAAUGGUCGAGGCGACGGGCGGAGAAAUACGUCGACGUAGCCGGCUGUACAGAGGUUUUGAGGCCAAACUUUCUACAUGAGAUUGGGAGAGGAGAGACAAAGGCCAAAAGUGACGCGCGUGGAAUCCUUUUAUAUUGGCCGAGGAGGGAGAUCGGGCGUGGAUGUCGACAGGCGGCAUUCGGGGCGCCUCUUUUGGAAACUGCGAUUAUGAGAGGAAACUUCAAAUUGAUUGCCUGAAUUGGUUCCUGGGAUGGUGAGGAUUGAUGGGGUGGUUUCUUUUCGGAGAGAGACGCGCAGGAAGGAAAGAAAUCGAAGGAAGAAAAUAUCGAAGGAGUGGUUUCCUUUACGUGCAGAGGAGGAAGAACACGAGCUCGUGCUGGUGCUAGCUGGCUGGGCUGAGGCGCUCGGUGGAGAUGGGCCGGCCCAGUUUGGGUCGGUCCAUCCCUUUUUUUUCUUUUCUUUUUUUUUCUUUUUUUAUUAGUAACUUUUGAUUCCUAACUCCAAAUAAGUUCAAAUAAACUCCAGUAAAUUUGUAAAUUCAAAUCUUCCAAAGUGUGAACUUUUGGGACUUGAAUCCUCUCAAAAUAAAAUAAGUAAAAAAAUACUUUUACUUAUAUAAAUGUCAUUAGGGCUUUAUAAAUAAUACAUAAAAUAGGUUUUGAAAUCUAUUAUGAAACCUUUGUUUCAUAAAUUAGUUUAAACUCCAAUAAACAUAUUGGGUUGCCAUACUUUGCACUAAAACCCUUUCUUAGCUAAAUACCCCAAAUAGCUUUAUAACAUCAAAUCACAAACCAUGUAAAUCAUCGCAGAUGUUUCAACCUAUUUAUAUAUUUGGGAAGUCACGUUAUCCCACUCUCAAUGACGGAAUAAAUGUUGG